RNAcentral lists this small RNA (602 nucleotides) under Pan troglodytes (chimpanzee). RNAcentral describes it as "sense intronic". The record is from RNAcentral. Lineage: Eukaryota; Metazoa; Chordata; Mammalia; Primates; Hominidae.
CCAGCUCUUAGUGACUCUAGCCCUCUCCCACCCUCCUCUGCACCCUGCAUGCACUUGUGUUGCUGAAUGUGGCCGGAGAAAAACACAGCAAUCUUGACUGUUCUGUGAGACUUCAUAAAGGAUUUCCAGGGCUGUGUGGAAUCAAAAAAUCUUCCUGCAUUUUCCCAGCCAUCUGGCCUCCAGGAUGACUAUUUCACAUCUCCUCAAGCCUUUCACAUCUCAUCCCCCUCAUACCUGAUGAUUUUGCUUCCUAUUUCACUGGGAAAAUGAAGUAGAGACGGGGUUUCAUCAUGUUGGCCAGGCUGGUCUCGAUCUUCUGACCUCGUGAUCCACCCACCUCGGCCUCCCAAAGUGCUGGGAUUACAGGCGUGAGCCACCGCGCCCGGCCAAAGAGCCUAGAACCAUGCCUGGCACACAGUGGGCAUCUAGACCCUUUGCUGAGUGGUGAAAUUGAAGUGUGACAGGGUGCGUGGCUUCCCCGCUCAGGCUCCCUCAGUUCCCAAAGCUGUGCUCCUUCCUGGAUCUCACGUAGCACAAGGAGGCAUACGUGGGUCGCACCACAUGGCUUCUAGAGGAGUAUGUGUGAGUGUGUUCAUGUUCAU